AGCUCCAAUAGCGUAUAUUAAAGUUGUUGCGGUUAAAAAGCUCGUAGUUGGAUCUCAGAGGGGCGCUCGUGGUUGGCCCGAUGGGUUUUACUGCGUUCGCCUUUCACCGACCGCUGGUCGCGUGUGCUCUUUGUUGAGUGUUCGUCGACUGCGGCCACGUUUACUUUGAAAAAAUUAGAGUGUUCAAAGCAGGCGUUUUUCGCCCGCAUACCCCAGCAUGGAAUAAUGGAAUAGGAGGCUGGUUCUAUUUCGUUGGUUUUCGGAAUCUAGCCUAAUGGUUAAGAGGGACGGACGGGGGCAUUCGUAUUGUGGCGUUAGAGGUGAAAUUCUUAGAUCGCCGCAAGACGAACAAGUGCGAAAGCAUUUGCCAAGAAUGUUUUCAUUAAUCAAGAACGAAAGU
Molecule: ribosomal RNA, 400 nt
Filed under: phytoplankton environmental sample
Lineage: Eukaryota
Description: partial small subunit ribosomal RNA
Rfam family: Eukaryotic small subunit ribosomal RNA
Source: RNAcentral